Molecule: long non-coding RNA, 408 nt
Filed under: Capsicum annuum
Lineage: Eukaryota; Viridiplantae; Streptophyta; Magnoliopsida; Solanales; Solanaceae
Description: long non-coding RNA (CANN_LNC021947)
Source: RNAcentral
UUUGGCACAACACCUCUCCAUGAAAUGGUUAGGUUUAUGCGUGCUGCUCACACACCUGAAGGCUUUACCUCCACCUGACUUGAACGCCCAUCUUCCCGCAAAGAAGUCUGCACUCAGGUCCUUCUUUACGUUGUUGCGGCCUAAUGGUCCGCUUGGUUCUAGCCUGGUUCUUGUCUAGCAUAGCACUCUCUGCAACUGCAAGCUCUGCUUGCCCAUGCCGUAGGCUUCACUGCCCACUCAUCCUGCAUGGCUCUCUUCUGUAGGGACUCUCCUGCCACUCCUCGCAACCCAUUGGAUGGCUAGGUUUAGGGGCUCUCCUGCUACUCUUCGCAGCCCAUUAGGUGGCUAGGUUGUCGUUCCAACCUUGAGUCCGACUUUCUUUAGACGGACCCCUUCACAUGCCNNNNN